Molecule: ribosomal RNA, 503 nt
Filed under: uncultured bacterium
Lineage: Bacteria
Description: bacterial SSU rRNA
Rfam family: Bacterial small subunit ribosomal RNA
Source: RNAcentral
UCAGGAUGAACGCUAGCUACAGGCUUAACACAUGCAAGUCGAGGGGCAGCAUAAUCGAAGCUUGCUUGAUGAUGGCGACCGGCGCACGGGUGAGUAACGCGUAUCCAACCUUCCCCUUAGUAGGGCAUAGCCCGGCGAAAGUCGGAUUAAUACCCUAUGUUAUCCGUCGAGGGCAUCUGAAGUGGAUUAAAGAUUUAUCGCUAAGGGAUGGGGAUGCGUCUGAUUAGGUUGUUGGCGGGGUAACGGCCCACCAAGCCUACGAUCAGUAGGGUUCUGAGAGGAAGGUCCCCCACAUUGGUACUGAGACACGGACCAAACUCCUACGGGAGGCAGCAGUGAGGAAUAUUGGUCAAUGGGCGAGAGCCUGAACCAGCCAAGUAGCCGUGCAGGAUGACGGCCCUAUGGGUUGUAAACUGCUUUUGCAUGGGAAUAAAGUCGGGGACGUGUCCCCGUUUGUAUGUACCAUGAGAAUAAGGACCGGCUAAUUCCGUGCCAGCCGCCGC